This 878-nucleotide long non-coding RNA is filed under the name Fragaria vesca (wild strawberry). RNAcentral describes it as "long non-coding RNA (FVES_LNC000892)". Lineage: Eukaryota; Viridiplantae; Streptophyta; Magnoliopsida; Rosales; Rosaceae. The record is from RNAcentral.
AAUAUUCUAUAUUUUUAAACUUCUCGUUGGAACACGUGAAUAAUUUAAUUUUUGAGAAUGAAGGUUUCAUUGCAAAUUUGGAGAAUGAAUCAUUCUCUUUUUUAUCCAUAUCUAUUUUAGGGAAUGAGAUGAGGAAGUUGUUGGACCUAAAAAAGGCUCAAUAUUCCUCAACCUUGAGAAAAUCGAGAAAAUAGGAAAGCUAUUAGAAAUACUCUUAGUGUUUCGACGUUUAGAUAUAGAGAAGCUUUCAAUCUGCAUUUAAAUCACAGAGAUGGUAAAACGGUCAUGAAUUGUGCAUGUAGCACAAAUAGAGCAUUUCACACGCACAAGUCAUAUUAGGUAUUUCAAAAAAGUAACGUCUUAUCAACUUGUACCUUGAUGCUCCUUAUAAGGUCACAAGCAAAGUGAUUGGGCUAAGGAUACACAUAUAUGUCACAUCCCGACCCUUAUAUUUUUACCUUAUUUACUAGCGUGAUGAUAAUAAGAAUUUUACCGUCUUGAUCAUGAGUAAAUAGUUUAAUUGGUCCCUAGAGGGGUUUCGGGGACGAUUAUGUGCGGAGGAUUAUUCGUAUGAGGAAAAUACGACGACGGUAAAAAUGGUAAUUUUAGCUAGUAAAAGGUAAUUUUUAUUCGGGUAUUAUUUUUCGGGGUGUUUUUAUUUUGGAAGUUUGGGUUAAAAAGGGGUGUUGGGUCGGCUGGGCCGAGCCCAACCCAUUUCUUUCUUCUUUCUCUUCUCCCUCUCUCCCGAUUCUCUCUCCUCCCACCCGAUUUUCUUCUCACUACACCCAGCAGAAUUCCGGCCGUCCUCCCGCCGCCGUCCGACCUCCGUUCGCCGCCGGACCGGUCCCGUUCGGUCGGUCUCCCUCCCAGCAACNNNN